GAGUUUGAUCCUGGCUCAGGACGAACGCUGGCGGCGUGCUUAACACAUGCAAGUCGAGCGAGGCCCUUCUCUUCGGAGAGGGUGCCCUAGCGGCGAACGGGUGAGUAACACGUGGGCAAUCUGCCCCUAGCACUGGGAUAACUCCGGGAAACCGGGGCUAAUACCGGAUAUGACCUUCGAAGGCAUCUUCGUUGGUGUAAAGGAUUCUGGCUAGGGAUGAGCCCGCGGCCUAUCAGCUUGUUGGUGAGGUAACGGCCCACCAAGGCGACGACGGGUAGCCGGCCUGAGAGGGCGACCGGCCACACUGGGACUGAGACACGGCCCAGACUCCUACGGGAGGCAGCAGUGGGGAAUAUUGCACAAUGGGCGAAAGCCUGAUGCAGCGACGCCGCGUGAGGGAUGACUGCCUUCGGGUUGUAAACCUCUUUCAGCUCCGACGAAGCGAAAGUGACGGUAGGAGCAGAAGAAGCACCGGCCAACUACGUGCCAGCAGCCGCGGUAAUACGUAGGGUGCAAGCGUUGUCCGGUAUUAUUGGGCGUAAAGAGCUCGUAGGCGGCUUGUCGCGUCGGCUGUGAAAACCUGGGGCUCAACCCCGGGCCUGCAGCCGAUACGGGCAAGCUAGAGUUCGGUAGGGGAGACUGGAAUUCCUGGUGUAGCGGUGAAAUGCGCAGAUAUCAGGAGGAACACCGGUGGCGAAGGCGGGUCUCUGGGCCGAUACUGACGCUGAGGAGCGAAAGCGUGGGGAGCGAACGGGAUUAGAUACCCUGGUAGUCCACGCCGUAAACGUUGGGCGCUAGGUGUGGGCCACAUUCCACGUGGUCUGUGCCGUAGCUAACGCAUUAAGCGCCCCGCCUGGGGAGUACGGCCGCAAGGCUAAAACUCAAAGGAAUUGACGG
Molecule: ribosomal RNA, 897 nt
Filed under: uncultured Actinomycetes bacterium
Lineage: Bacteria; Bacillati; Actinomycetota; Actinomycetes
Description: bacterial SSU rRNA
Rfam family: Bacterial small subunit ribosomal RNA
Source: RNAcentral